Molecule: transfer RNA, 55 nt
Filed under: Schistocephalus solidus
Lineage: Eukaryota; Metazoa; Platyhelminthes; Cestoda; Diphyllobothriidea; Diphyllobothriidae
Rfam family: tRNA
About the family: Transfer RNA (tRNA) molecules are approximately 80 nucleotides in length. Their secondary structure includes four short double-helical elements and three loops (D, anti-codon, and T loops).
Source: Rfam by way of RNAcentral
GCUCAAUGGUAGAGCGUUUGAUUCAAUACCAAAAUGUUGCGGGUUCGAAUCCCAC